UGUUCUCGCGCCGGUAGGCGCAGGGGUCUUCUGUCCGCCCUCUGCUCCAGAGCCCGGGAGCUCCGGCCAGGUUUCUCCCUCGCACACGACAUUACUCAUCCUGGCUCUGGGAGGAAACUCAAGAAGAAGCUUUCAAGACUUUAAGAUUAGAUGGGGCUUGACAUCUGCUGGGCAACCCCUAGCUAUAGGAGUUCCCCUGCUGAGCAGAGACUAUGACUACAGAAUUGAAAGAGGCCAUGGCCCUGGCUCCUUGGGGCCCAGUGACGGUGAAAAAGGAGGAAGAAGAAGAGGAAAGCUUCGUGGGUCAGGCCUCCAGCCAACAAGUGCACUCUGAAAACAUCAAAGUCUGGGCUCCUCUGGAGGGUCCUCAGACAAGCCUCUAUGUAUCAGAACAGGAAGAAAAGGGUCAGAACGUGUUCUGGGACAUGGCUGUAGUCCUGAAACCAACACAGGAGGUGCCUGUUGCAUCAACCCCAGGCAGCUCCUCAUUUCCGGGGACUCUGGUCAAGAGCAAGCUACUGGACACUCAUGGGAACAUGACUUAUCUAGGUGCUGAAACCAAGAACCCACCAUUAUUGAUUCCAAAAACUGAGAUAUGUGAUGAAGCAGAAAAACCCUUCAUAAUAUCAGGAAGAAUCCAGAAAGUUGACCCUCGAGGACCUGAGUUAGGAGAAGCCUGUGAGAAAGGGAGUGUGUUAAAGAGGCAGAGAAUAAAGAGGGAAAAGAAAGAUUUAAGAAAAGUGACAGUGAAGGACUGUCCCAUGCCUGAGAACUUCAAAGAAGAGGAAGACCAGAAGUGUCACAAAUCUGAGGAGAGAUACAGCCUUGGUUCUGGCUCUGUUAAAAAUCAGAAAAGCCAGCUUGGACAGAAACCUUUUACAUGUAGCGUGUGUGGGAAAGGCUUUAGUCAGAGCGCAAACCUCGUAGUGCACCAGCGAAUCCACACUGGAGAGAAACCCUUCGAAUGUCAUGAGUGUGGGAAGGCCUUCAUUCAGAGUGCAAACCUUGUUGUGCAUCAGCGAAUCCACACUGGACAGAAACCAUAUGUUUGUUCAAAGUGUGGGAAAGCCUUCACUCAGAGUUCAAACCUGACUGUACAUCAAAAAAUCCACUCCUUAGAGAAAACCUUUAAGUGCAGCGAAUGCGAGAAAGCCUUCAGUUACAGCUCACAACUUGCCCGGCACCAGAAAGUCCACAUUACAGAAAAGUGCUAUGAAUGUAACGAGUGUGGGAAAACAUUUACUCGGAGCUCAAACCUCAUUGUCCACCAGAGGAUCCACACCGGGGAGAAGCCCUUCGCCUGUAAUGACUGUGGCAAAGCCUUCACCCAGAGCGCAAAUCUUAUCGUGCAUCAGCGAAGCCAUACUGGUGAGAAGCCAUACGAGUGCAAAGAGUGUGGAAAAGCCUUUAGUUGUUUUUCACACCUUAUUGUGCACCAGAGAAUCCACACCGCGGAGAAACCUUAUGACUGCAGCGAGUGCGGGAAGGCCUUCAGUCAGCUCUCUUGCCUUAUCGUGCACCAAAGGAUUCACAGCGGGGACCUUCCGUACGUGUGUAACGAGUGUGGGAAGGCCUUCACCUGCAGCUCGUACCUGCUAAUUCAUCAGAGGAUCCAUAAUGGGGAGAAGCCGUACACGUGCAGCGAGUGUGGCAAGGCCUUCCGGCAGAGGUCAAGCCUCACGGUACACCAGAGAACCCACACAGGGGAGAAGCCCUACGAGUGUGCCAAGUGCGGUGCGGCCUUCAUCUCCAACUCGCACCUCAUGCGCCACCACAGAACCCAUCUCGUCGAGAGCACAUAGAGGAUGAGGAAGACCUCCAGGCACCAGUCAGAACCUCCCACCCCCCAAGUCAGACACCUCUUGGCCGUUUUCUCCUCCUUGGUGAAAACGAAGCCUGCUCUGUCCUUAAAAGUAACAGUUUUCAGGCGUGCAGCACAAAACACAAGAAGGGCAUUUCAGAGGCUAAAGAAAAUGAAAACGAAGGCCUCAAGGCAAGGAUCUUGUUUUUAACUUGGUGCCCCAAGUGGUCAUGUUGUCUGAAGUGGAAUGUGGCUUUCUUAGAAGUGGGUCAUACAGCACUCAGUGAUAAAGAUCCCUUUGGGGAAAGGCAUUUUUCACUUAACUUUGUUUUUGAAAACUCUGGUAAUUUCUUGGGCAAUAGCCUGGUUACUGGUGUAGGUCUGCCUGAUGGAAUUCUGGAGAUUUGAACCUUGUAUUUUAUUAUUUUGGGUCAAGCAGUGACUCAUUAAGGAAACCACUUGGGGUAGCAAUUCACCAACAACUCACCUGUGAACAUUUAUAAGUUUUCCAUUCCCUAGAUAAUUUUUUUAAUUAUUAAACAAACAAACAAACAAACAACACCCUACUAACCGUCUACUGCUCCUAAAAUGGAUGGAAGUAGGAAACAGUCAUUUGCCUGAUCGUUUGUACCUUAUGAAUGUUGGUAUGGUAAAGCCCUGGGGACCUCCGGCGAGUCUCUCCUGACUGUUUCCCAGCCUGCAUGGCCAAGCACUUGAGGACUGAUGGAGACAGCACACUGGGGGCACAGAUGCUGCUGGGCUUUGUUCCUUUACUAAGGUCAACAACUCUUCAAAUAACCCCAGUUGCCAUUGCAUCCCAUUUGAGUGAGACGCUGCUAACAGCCCCCUCUCCAGUUAGAGGAGGCAGAGAAUAAAGCUUCUCUGGGGGCACGCCCACUUUGUCCCUGCUCUCACUCUGCUCAGGCCCAGGCAGGGGGCUCAGUUUGGGUGUCAUUGUCACUUUCUGGAUGGUCUUUAGAAGAAAUAAUGGAGCCCUUCUAACUCUGAGAGGACCCAAGAGGGAAAUGAAAAGAGAGGGAGGAGGCAGAGUGGGCUUCCUAAGGUCUUAAUUUGUUUUCUUAGAAGUUCAAAGGUAUUGGAAUAUGAAAACUUUUAGAAGGAUAGACUGGCUAAGGUCUGGAUUUCCACAAAUCUGCACCCAGGUUCAGGACUCCCGAUCCUACACAAAUCAUGUGAGCCUAGUAGGUUACUAGACAGAUCAGAUCCUUCCCUAACUUAUAACAACUUUCCCUCCCAAUUAAACUCCCGCCCUCAAAAUAAAUUACCACCCACUUUUUCUAUAGGGUUGCUGAUAGGAAAGGAGUGACUACCCUUUGUUGUCAGACUUGGCUUAGGUUUUCCUUUUCCUGGGGGUCAUCUCCCUUGUUUCUGGGCUGGUCUCUUCUCCCUUCUUUCUGAGCUGGUGUUGCCAGAAGUAAGUGAGAACUCUGAAGCCCCAUUUUCUUAAGUUGCCAAGAGUUAUCUUGUAGCUCUCAGACAAAAAGCUUAGCAUUAAGGGUAGAGCCAAGAAGUCUGUUUUUACCCUUGAAUGAGACCAACAGAUGUCUGAUCUGUUAUGUAGAGCACAGGGAUGCGACAGUGAAAUCAUGUACAGGUGCUUUGGGGACAUGGUGGGGGAGGGGCGGAUUCUUCAUCAACACACACACAUACACACACACACACCCCCUCUCAAACACAGUUGGCUGUGAAUUCCUCCAGGCUCAGGAACCUAAUUCUUUCUCUGUGCUCUGGAUCCCCUCCCUGCCCUAGGUGGUCGUUCUUCUCCCACUUCUGUUACUUCUCCCCUUGUAUGCCUAACCUUUCUGGGGUCACAGCCCCUUUGAGAAUCUGAUGGAGGUUGUAGAUCCUCUUCAGGAGAAACUCAAUUGCACACUCAGUUUUGUGCUUAUUUGUGGGGGCAUAUAAGUUCCCUGAGGCCAAUCCAUGCAUCCCUCCAGGGCCUCAAGUCACACCUGGGGAUGCAGUACAUAAUCGCCUGCACGUGCUACAAAAUGGUGACUUUUUAAAAAAUGAGGUCAGACUACGGAAUCUCUAAGGAUGUUGCCCAGACACACAACCUUUUCAAUCUUGCUUCUCCUGGCUUCCCUCCCUCAGCAAAUGGUGGCUUUGUCCAGCACCGAGACUGGAAACCCAGGAGGCAUUUCUGGCUUCCGAUGCAUUGAUUACUAAAAUAUUUAUUAUGCACCCUCUUUGUGGCAAACAUGGUGCUAGAUCCAGGGGUGCCAAAGCAAACAAGGUCUACCAUACCCCCUUUCCAUGUCUCUCAUGAGAAAGAUGUCUGCAUCCCUCAACGUGAUUUACUAAGCUCUUCAUAAGCUGUUCCCAGUCUCAUCACCUCACUUCUCAUGCACCUUUACUGCAGCCUGGAGGCACGUGCUUGCUCUUCUCGUGCCUUUGCUCACACUGUCCUUGGUGCCUGUGAUACCUCACCACCACGCCCCACAGCCCCUGUCUGCUUUUCUGAACAUUUGGUUUCUUUUAAGAUUUGGCUCAAGCCCAUCUCUGGGAAACCUCUGACUGCCCUAUGGCCAAGAAGUAUAUUUAGAAGUAUAGAAGAGCAUGAUAUUUGUAUCCAGAGUUUUACUUUAUGCUUUAAAGUGAAAAAAAUCUGGAUUCAAGAUUGUGUGUAUAGUACUGUUCUCAUAUAAUGUUGUUACGUACACUACAUACUAUGUAAACGUAUAUAGAUAAAUUACAUGAAGGAAAUAUAAGAAAAUGUUAUAAAUGGUUAAGUGACUUGUUCAGAGCCAUACAAAUGGUAAGUUGCAGAGCUUGGGCUCAAACCCAGGUCCUAGCGAUAAUGGAAUUAUGGGUGAUUAAAAGUUUUUUUUAAAGUAAUUUUCAUAUUUUUUAUAAGGAACAAAAAUUUUAUAAUCAGGAAAAAAUAAAUUAUUUAUUAUAAUUACAAAUUUAGUUUUAUUGUAUUAACUAUAAACAGUAUCUCAGUUCUCCAUUUUGUAGAAUGUGGGAUGCAGCCUGCUUCUGUCUCCUCCCCCAUCCACCUCUUUGCCUCUGACAAUGUCAAGUCUGAUAAUCCUUGAAUUCGGUUCUGUAACCAUAGUCUUAUGCUUUGUUUAUUGAUUUGUUCUGAAAGUUGGAAUAAACAGCAUGAAUGUUA
This is an RNA transcript of Hippopotamus amphibius kiboko, 4940 nucleotides long. It is a transcript of the gene named zinc finger protein 35, with no coding region annotated. Lineage: Eukaryota; Metazoa; Chordata; Mammalia; Artiodactyla; Hippopotamidae. The record is from RefSeq and is a predicted model, not a curated record. The transcript has 5 exons.